GGCCCAGUAGCGGAUGGUCCGCGCCUGCUUCCUUUGGUUGCACUCAAAAAAAGUUCCCAACGCAGGAAUCGCUCGUUCGAAUCGAGCCUGGGCCU
This is a non-coding RNA of Mycena latifolia, 95 nucleotides long. NCBI's taxonomy places the organism in Eukaryota, Fungi, Basidiomycota, Agaricomycetes, Agaricales, Mycenaceae. The record is from the annotation of a GenBank genome assembly.